GACGUAGGGCGCAAGCGUUGUCCGGAAUUAUUGGGCGUAAAGAGCUCGUAGGCGGCUUGUUGCGUCGACUGUGAAAAACCACGACUCAACCGUGGGACUGCAGUCGAUACGGGCAGGCUAGAGUUCGGUAGGGGAGACUGGAAUUCCUGGUGUAGCGGUGAAAUGCGCAGAUAUCAGGAGGAACACCGAUGGCGAAGGCAGGUCUCUGGGCAUUAACUGACGCUGAGGAGCGAAAGCAUGGGGAGCGAACAGG
Molecule: ribosomal RNA, 253 nt
Filed under: uncultured bacterium
Lineage: Bacteria
Description: partial 16S ribosomal RNA
Rfam family: Bacterial small subunit ribosomal RNA
Source: RNAcentral